GACGAACGCUGGCGGCGUGCUUAACACAUGCAAGUCGAACGGAAAGGCCCCCAUCUUGGUGGGGGUGCUCGAGUGGCGAACGGGUGAGUAACACGUGGGUGAUCUGCCCUGUACUUCGGGAUAAGCUUGGGAAACUAGGUCUAAUACCGGAUAGGACCAUGGUUUAGUGUCUCAUGGUGGAAAGAUUAUUGUUUUGGUGCAGGAUGAGCUCGCGGCCUAUCAGCUUGUUGGUGGGGUAAUGGCCUACCAAGGCGUCGACGGGUAGCCGGCCUGAGAGGGUGGACGGCCACAUUGGGACUGAGAUACGGCCCAGACUCCUACGGGAGGCAGCAGUGGGGAAUAUUGCGCAAUGGGCGCAAGCCUGAUGCAGCGACGCCGCGUGGGGGAUGACGGCCUUCGGGUUGUAAACUCCUUUCGUUAGGGACGAAGCCGCACUUUUUUUGGGUGUGGUGACGGUACCUUUGUUAAGAAGCACCGGCUAACUACGUG
This 489-nucleotide ribosomal RNA is filed under the name uncultured bacterium. Its description in RNAcentral is "partial 16S ribosomal RNA". It matches the Rfam family "Bacterial small subunit ribosomal RNA", at positions 28 to 507 of the family's 1533-position model. The record is from RNAcentral.